AGAUGAAGAAAUUGAAGAAGAAAUUGCAGAACUAUUUAGAACAAGAAAGAAAGGAAGACGAUAUGUUCAAUGGAGUGAGAAAGAUUCAAACACUGUAAAAUCCUACUUCAAACAAUAUAUCCAGGAUGUAUCUAAAGAAGGUGCAAAAGGGAGAAUGCCUGGUUUUAAGGACAUAAAAAUAUUUAUGGAGUUACAUCCAAAUGUAAUGGCCCAAGAGAGUGACUUUUUGACAAGGAGAGAUAUUAUCAAAUCAAAAAUAUUUAAUGAAAGAAAAAAGUUCAGAGGAAUAUAUGAGGAGAGGAAAAAGAAUUAUUCCU
Molecule: long non-coding RNA, 317 nt
Organism: Mytilus californianus (California mussel)
Lineage: Eukaryota; Metazoa; Mollusca; Bivalvia; Mytilida; Mytilidae
Exons: 3
Source: RefSeq, a predicted model, not a curated record